Sapajus apella (tufted capuchin) is the source of this 1362-nucleotide long non-coding RNA. RefSeq lists it as uncharacterized. The record is from RefSeq and is a predicted model, not a curated record. NCBI's taxonomy places the organism in Eukaryota, Metazoa, Chordata, Mammalia, Primates, Cebidae. The transcript is spliced from 2 exons.
AGCAGUAAGAAGUGCCAAGCAAAAAGGGGAAAAUCCCCAUAUAAAACCAUCAGAUCUCCUGAGAACUCACUCAAUAUCACAAAAACAACAUGGAGGUAACAUACACCAUGAUUCAAUUACUUCCCACCAGGUCCCUCCCAUGACAUGUGGAGUUUAUGGGAACUACAAUUCAAGAUCAGGUUCAGGUGGGGACACAGCCAAACCAUAUCAUGAAGUGACUGACAUAUUAUUGAUAUGCUUUCCAAUCUUGUAUAUAUCAGUAAAUAUCUAGAGUCUUAUAGUAAAUUAAAUGUGUGAUCACUUGAUCACUUGCUCCAGAAUACUUUUUUCCCAGUUAUUGAAUUAUGUAUUCUGUUAUCCAAUUAUCAUAUAUAAAAAGAAGAAAAUAAACUUCAUCAUUUGACCCUAGGAGAAAGGAUGAGAUAGCACAUAAAACACCUUAAAUUUGUUUUUAAAAAUUUGAGUUUACAUAGCAAUCCCUGCUUUAUAUUUCCUUUGUACAAUCACUUUUUCAUAUUUUUCAUCCCAUUAUACUAGUUUUAAUCUAUAUUUCACUGCCCUAAGGAAUUUCCUUCUCUUUUUAUACUAGCUGUUUUCAUGUACACCAAUGAAAAUUUUGCACACUAAGGAAAAGUAAGAGGUGAAAACAUUCAGACACACUCUUGACUUCCUUAAUGGACAUUCACAAGAAGUGAAACAUUUCUUUCCUCAAUGUCUCUAAUAUAUGUUACAAAUUAGAUCAGGUAACAUUAAUGUGAUCACAAACUUCCAGCUGUUCAGAUUUACACAUUCGUGUUGCUUGUUUUACUAGCCCACAAGGGAAAUACCACCUUCUGGGACUAUUUCCCCCAAUCAGGAUAUUUAAGCUGGAAGCUUUGUCAGACUGCAUCAGUGUUCUGAGUAAGCAGGAAUGCAAACUGCAAUUUUAGCAUUAGCAUUCUACUUAGAACAAAGGGAGGCACCCGGAAGCAGUACACAGUAGUGCAGAGUUUUCUGGUUUCCCUUUAAAGAUUAGGGACAGCCAUUUGACUCUUGGGUUAGUUUGAACAAGUCUCCAGUCCUUGUCUCCAGAACUGAAGCCUUAUGUAGUUCUUCCUAUUUGAUGGAGACAGUAAUUUUUAAUCAUUUCUUCCCAAGAGGACCAGGUGCCUUGGGAGAACAAAAAGAAAGUGAGACACAUACUUUCUUUGCCUUCGGGAUCAAGAUCUGGUUGGGAAGAAAAGACAAACAUAUGAUUUGAAAACAAAUGGAGAGCGAAUGCUAAAUUUUGUGGAACCUAUACUCCAGUUCAGAAAAGUGGAACAGAAAGCAAGCUGGAAUAGCCAAGAAAGUCUGUAAAAUAAAGCCAAUUUUGAAAAACUA